This 433-nucleotide ribosomal RNA is filed under the name uncultured bacterium. RNAcentral describes it as "partial 16S ribosomal RNA". It matches the Rfam family "Bacterial small subunit ribosomal RNA", at positions 29 to 507 of the family's 1533-position model. The record is from RNAcentral.
AACGAACGCUGGCGGCAUGCCUAACACAUGCAAGUCGAACGAGACCUUCGGGUCUAGUGGCGCACGGGUGCGUAACGCGUGGGAACCUGCCCUUAGGUUCGGAAUAACUCCCCGAAAGGGGUGCUAAUACCGGGUAAUGUCUUCGGACCAAAGAUUUAUCGCCUUUGGAUGGGCCCGCGUUGGUUUAGCUAGUUGGGAGGGUAAAAGCCUACCAAGGCGACGAUCCAUAGCUGGUCUGAGAGGAUGAGCAGCCACACUGGGACUGAGACACGGCCCAGACUCUUAGGGGAGGCAGCAGUGGGGAAUAUUGGACAAUGGGCGAAAGCCUGAUCCAGCAAGGCCGCGUGAGUGAUGAAGGCGUUAGGGUUGUAAAGCUCUUUUACCCGGGAUGAUAAUGACAGUACCGGGAGAAUAAGCACCGGCUAACUCCGUG